ACAGAGGCGGCAAGCGUUGUUCGGAAUUAUUGGGCGUAAAGAGCAUGUAGGCGGCUAUGUAAGUCGGUCGUGAAAGCCUUCCGCUUAACGGAAGAAUGGCGGUCGAAACUGCAUGGCUUGAGUGCGGGAGGGGAGAGUGGAACUUCUGGUGGAGCGGUGAAAUGCGUAGAUAUCCGGAGGAACACCGGUGGCGAAGGCGACACGCUGGGCCUGGCCUGACGCUCAGGCGCGAAAGCAUGGGGAGCGAACGG
Molecule: ribosomal RNA, 251 nt
Filed under: uncultured prokaryote
Description: partial 16S ribosomal RNA
Rfam family: Bacterial small subunit ribosomal RNA
Source: RNAcentral